RNAcentral lists this small nuclear RNA (107 nucleotides) under Catagonus wagneri (Chacoan peccary). Lineage: Eukaryota; Metazoa; Chordata; Mammalia; Artiodactyla; Tayassuidae. The record is from RNAcentral.
GUGCUUUGCUUUAGCAGCACAUGUACUAAAACUGGAACAUGCAGAGAAGAUGAGCAUGGCCCCUGUGCAAGGAUGACACACGCAUUUGUGAAGCACUCCAUACUUUU